Molecule: non-coding RNA, 1451 nt
Organism: Coturnix japonica (Japanese quail)
Lineage: Eukaryota; Metazoa; Chordata; Aves; Galliformes; Phasianidae
Source: RefSeq, a predicted model, not a curated record
ACCAAACUCAGCCCAUUGUUCUCUGGUUUGUUCUUGUUUCUUAGACACAAAACAAAACCAUGUCCAAGCAGCAGCCCCCAGCUGUGCUAUUGUACAGGACCGUGACACUCAGGGACACGUGGUUGGCACUUGGAGGUGUCUCCAGACAGACAUCAGAAAUCACAAGCAACUUUCAGAAACAAGCUCUGCUAAUGAUGUUACCGAGGCUGUGGCAGUUCUUGUCGAGAUUAUUAAAUGAAAAGGUGUUUUCAUUAGGAUGGAAAUUCUGGUCCUGCUGAAAUCAGAGCACCCAUCUGUGACAAGCAUGAUCAGGAGACUGAGAUCACUCUGAAUUUACACCAAAUGCAACAGGAGAGAGAGAACAGCUGCCACAAGGUUUUCUGAUUUGGAGAAAAAGGGCUUUGAAGCUGAUUUAUGUCCCCAGCCAGCUCCUGUCAGGCAUCUGAUCUUGGAGCUACAGAGGACCCAAGAUCCCUUGUCACCUCUGUGAAACUCUUCUCACUCAUUACUGACGAGCUGCUGGUGUUGCACAGGGCAAGUGGAAAGUAUCUGCCAGCAUCCAGGGACAGGUGAUUGGCAGCAUGUCCCUCUCACAGGCACUGAUGGAAGCGUUUUCCUGGUUUUUCUCCUUCAAACAAAGUGACAAAAUUACAGAUUUAUUGUUCAUGAGCUCCUAAAGAGGUACUUCAUAGGCAUGCAUGAGUGUAGAGCAGCAAGAAAAUGGCAGUCAGAGCAGUUUGUGGAGAUCUGUUUGUCUGUAACGAAGCACAGUAGGUCAUUGGCAUGACAACUAUGACAGCCAUUCUUGACCUCUUCAUUUUCCUGCUUGUAUAUGCUUGGAUUUCAUAAUUGGUGCGAUGAUUAUAAAUAUUACAGCUUCCCUAUCAUAAUUCUUAACAAUUUAUUUUAUUAUAAAUCUGCCCAGACGAGAUGGUAAUGAGUCCAUAAAAAGAUCUAAACUGCUCGUUAGAAUAGCAUCGUUCACAGGUUAAUUAAAACAUGCCUUCUAUGUGAAGUAUUUAUUUCUUCAUUAAGCUGGCCAUUCUGCAAAGGCUGUCUUCUUUUCUAUGUAUGUUUUAUACAAACGUAUAUCCAGCGACAGAUUUACAGGUUGAAUAGAUACACUAAACUCAGUCAUAAUAACACUCACAUCAUUAGGAGCCUUGAGUACUCUUUGCUGGAUGUUCACUAGAUGCGUGCAUGAACAUAAAAUUCCUACACAUAUAGGCCUGCAAGAGCAAACCGCUGACUCUGCAAGAGUGAACUGAUGACUACAGUUUAAGACUGGAGAUUUGUGAGCAUGCUGCAAUUUAGAGAAAUAAGCUUGAAUUUUCUGAUACAGUCCAUUUUUACUGACGUCACUGUGAAUUUAGGUCAGAUCUUCAAGACCUGUACAGAAAUAUCUGACAGGUCACAAUUGCAUGUAGGCAUGCAAAUGUAAAUGCCCUUAC